AUACUCCAACCCCGGUGAACAUACCUUACGUUUGCCUCUGCAGGUGGCGCCUACCUAGGUAGCGCCCUACCCCUGGUAGGGCCUACCCGGGCAGACGCGGGGUAAGCCCUGCCGGCGGCCCACACAAACUGGUGUCUGAUAUUGAAUUCUGAACACUAUAACUAAAUAAGUUAAAACUUUCAACAACGGAUCUCUUGGUUCUGGCAUCGAUGAAGAACGCAGCGAAAUGCGAUAAGUAAUGUGAAUUGCAGAAUUCAGUGAAUCAUCGAAUCUUUGAACGCACAUUGCGCCCAUUAGUAUUCUAGAGGGCAUGCCUGUUCGAGCGUCAUUUCAACCCUUAAGCCUCUGUUGCUUAGCGGUGGGAGCCUACAGCACCUGUAACUCCUCAAAGUUAGUGGCGGAGUCGGUUCACACUCUAAACGUAGUAAUUCUUUCUCGCCUAUUAAUUGGAACCGGUCUCCCCCCGUAAAACCCCCUAUUUUCAAGGGUUGACCACCUAUCAUGUAGGAAUACCCGCUGAACUAAUUAAUAUUAAUAAUACGGAGGAAGAAUU
The sequence is a ribosomal RNA, 553 nucleotides long. The stretch from base 175 to 328 matches the Rfam family "5.8S ribosomal RNA".